AUGAACGCUAGCGGCAGGCUUAACACAUGCAAGUCGAGGGGCAGCGGGGAGUAGCAAUACUCUGCCGGCGACCGGCGCAAGGGUGCGUAACGCGUGAGCAACUUGCCCGUGUCAGGGGGAUAACCGGUGGAAAACGCCGACUAAUACCGCAUAACGUAUUGAAAUCGCAUGGUUUUGAUACCAAAGAUUUAUCGCUGUAAGAUGGCCUCGCGUCUGAUUAGAUAGUUGGUGAGGUAACGGCCCACCAAGUCGACGAUCAGUAGCCGGACUGAGAGGUUGAUCGGCCACAUUGGGACUGAGACACGGCCCAGACUCCUACGGGAGGCAGCAGUGGGGGAUAUUGCACAAUGGGCGAAAGCCUGAUGCAGCGACGCCGCGUGAGUGAAGAAGGUCUUCGGAUCGUAAAGCUCUGUUGUCGGGGACGAAUGUACCUUUUGUGAAUAAUGAGAGGUAAUGACGGUACCUGACGAGGAAGCCACGGCUAACUACGUG
RNAcentral lists this ribosomal RNA (492 nucleotides) under uncultured bacterium. Its description in RNAcentral is "bacterial SSU rRNA". It matches the Rfam family "Bacterial small subunit ribosomal RNA", at positions 29 to 507 of the family's 1533-position model. The record is from RNAcentral.